GACGAACGCUGGCGGCGUGCUUAACACAUGCAAGUCGAACGGAAAGGCCCUGCUUUUGUGGGGUGCUCGAGUGGCGAACGGGUGAGUAACACGUGAGUAACCUGCCCUUGACUUUGGGAUAACUUCAGGAAACUGGGGCUAAUACCGGAUAGGAGCUCCUGCUGCAUGGUGGGGGUUGGAAAGUUUCGGCGGUUGGGGAUGGACUCGCGGCUUAUCAGCUUGUUGGUGGGGUAGUGGCUUACCAAGGCUUUGACGGGUAGCCGGCCUGAGAGGGUGACCGGCCACAUUGGGACUGAGAUACGGCCCAGACUCCUACGGGAGGCAGCAGUGGGGAAUAUUGCACAAUGGGCGGAAGCCUGAUGAAGCAACGCCGCGUGCGGGAUGACGGCCUUCGGGCUGUAAACCGCUUUCGCCUGUGACGAAGCGUGAGUGACGGUAAUGGGUAAAGAAGCACCGGCUAACUACGUG
This 468-nucleotide ribosomal RNA is filed under the name uncultured bacterium. RNAcentral's name for it is "partial 16S ribosomal RNA". It matches the Rfam family "Bacterial small subunit ribosomal RNA", at positions 28 to 507 of the family's 1533-position model. The record is from RNAcentral.